AAACUUUUAAGUCGAAAUUUUAAUUACCGUUCUGAUCAGAGAAUUCAUGUCAGGAUAUGAAAGUUUU
This 67-nucleotide transfer RNA is filed under the name Caenorhabditis brenneri. Its description in RNAcentral is "tRNA CBN34418". Lineage: Eukaryota; Metazoa; Nematoda; Chromadorea; Rhabditida; Rhabditidae. The record is from RNAcentral.